UGAGCAACAGGAAGUGAAAUCACCAAAUGAACAUCAAAUGGAAAAUGUUUCACCCACUGUCUCUCUUCCCGCAUUGUCUAUGUUUUACACUUGCUUAAGGAUAAUGGCUACCUUCCUUCCCACCACCUUCUUCUCUCUCAAAUUCCCUUCCUAUUCUAACUUCUCCACUAUCCAUUGCCCUACCCACCUUCAACGAAGCAGCCAUUUUCAAUGGGUCUCGUAGCCUCUUGGACGUAGCCUUAGCUAACAUUUUAUCACAUGCAACCAGAAUCAGGCACUUUCAAGUUUCAACUAUCUCGCACCAUGAAAAAUGACUCAUCUCUCGAUCUGCUUUGUUGUCAGUAAUUAAAUGACCAAUCACGAAGAUUCGAAGACCUUAGGCUUAUCAUCUCUUUUAUUCAGGUUUGUUUUUGGUUGCUUAAGAAGGGGAUCCCAAAUAUCAUUGAGAUGAGCAAUAGCAAGAGAUGAAGAAACGUCCAUUUCCAAGUUUAACGAAUAAUGCAGAAAAAAAAUUAUGGAACUGGUUCUGGUUCUUUUAUUUUUAUUCUUGGGUUCAAUUGAGCUGAUUAAAUUGAAAGGUUUAGAUUUUAUAUCUGCCAAAUUAAUGAAAUAAUUGUUGUCUAAAUUAAUAGAAUUUUGGGUUCCAUAAUUACUAAGCACUCUGUGAUUCUGAGAAAAAAUAAGUGGAUUCAAGAGGAUGAGAGAUUUUAGUUUCUGGGUACAAGGUGCUUUUGAUUUAAUCAUUAAGAAAGUGAAGCUUUUGGGUUCAUGAGAUUUUGGUUCUGUUGUGGGAGAACUUUUGGGUUCUUGAAAACUUGUAGACAUCAAUUAAUUCAAACCCGAGAUUUCAUAACUCUAUUAAUGACUCGAUAUUUCUCGGCCUCCAAACACCAAAGCUCCCUUCUUUCAACAAAUCAAACUUCCUUGUAUCCCCUCCAUCCAAAUCAAAAUCCUAAUCAUCCUUAACCACAAUUUUAAAAUCAUCAGGAAUGUCAUGGGAUUUGGAUGAUUUUGCAAGGCCAAGCCAUAAAAUUUAGACUUUGAGGAAGCUUUAAUCGAUUUCCAAAAGUAUAGAUAAUGUAUUUUUUUGCAAAAGCUCAUUGGUUAGGCACAGUGGCAGGGCUUUUGUGGGUUGAAUUGACGAAAGCCUCUGCUUGCGAGGUUGGGCUCCAAUGGGCCUAUUUCUUGUGCCUAGCGAUGAAAACUCACAAGUUUCCCACUCACCCAACAUGCGCUGAAAACCCUAUCAAGGCAUUCUUCCUGUAACCUGCGACUGUGAGUGAGUGAAACCCCAAGUUUAAAACAAGAAGAAGUGAAACAAAUUGGAAGUCUGACGCAGAAGAAAACACUGAGGAUUGGGCAUGGCAUCUACUGAUGAAAGCAUCACUCUCAAAAGAAAGCAAUUAAUAGCAUCAGCUCUCAUCAAGCACCUAUCUUUAGAUCCUGGGGCUUCUUUGAGUGUCAGUGGCAAGGAUAGUAUUACGAGUUUGUACACAAACAUUUUGAAGUCAUCGGGAAAAUGUUCUCCACAGAAAGAAAAUAACGAGGUGAUGAAGUGGAUAGUGUUUGCAGAGAGUUUUCCUGUAGACUCUCAGGCGUGCUUUGAUGCUCUCUGUGGAUUCAAUCAAGACUUGGCUCAGAACUCUGUACUAUUGGGCAAUGGAACUACUCCUUCUGAGGCUGAUGUCAUUGUGUUUUCAGUAAUACAUUCUUCAGUGAUUGGCCUUUCACAUUUAGAGAGAGAAAAGUUGACACAUGUGAUGAGAUGGAUGGAUUACAUUCAGCACAAGGAGGAGUUUGUGGACCUAUUUGAAAAGAUAUUGCUUGAAAAGCCUGCAUUUGAGCCUCUGUUGCAGGGUAAAAGGGGUAUGGCUAAGGUUGAAGUGGAUUCAAAUGCAAAAAAGACACUGCAAAGCACAAAGAACACAGAAAAAUCAGAAGCGGAAAAGAAUAUAAAGAAAAAUGAUGCUGGGAAAAAGGUUACAGAAAAUAAGGAAUCUAUGCCAGAGAAAAAGAAACCAGCUGAAACAGAACCUGCUGAGAAAGAUAAAGAAGUAAGUGUUAGUUUGCUGAACAUACAGGUUGGACUUAUUCGCAAAGCAUGGAAACAUCCAUCUGCCGAUAGGUAAGCUGACAACUCAUUCUUCUCCUCGAAGUGUUCAUUAUAUUCAUUAGAAAAGCUGUUCAACUGCUUGUAACCUGGUUAUGGUACCUUUAAGUUUGAAGUAUCUUAAUUUAUGCAGCAUGACAUUUCUGAUAGAAAACUAUUUGUGACAUUUUUAAUUUUGAUUAUUAAUUCAGUUUAUUGGUUGAGGAGAUAGAUGUUGGGGAUGCAAAAUUGAGGCAGGUGGUCAGUGGUUUGGCAAAGUUUUGCAGUCCAGAUGAGUUGACGGUAUGAUUUCUUAUAUAGUCUCCUGUGAACUAUUUUUGUUUAAUUGUUUGGGAUUUAUUGAAGUGCCAAAGCCCAGUUGCUAAUUCUCCAUUUGGUGUUUGCAUUUUCUAUAAAGAAUCGUCAUGUUGUGCUGAUAACUAAUGUAAAACCUGGAAAGCUACGUGACGUGAUGUCAGAAGGACUUGUAAGUUUUCUAUACAUUUUCAUUGUUGUAUGAAUCAAGUAAUGAUGCUCUCUAUAUUCAGCAAAAGCUUAUGAUGUAAUAGUGCUUUUGUUUUCAGUAUUUGUUUUGCUGUUCUCGAUAAACUUUGCAACUGCAGAAUAAAACAAGCAAGGAUAUGAUUGGUGUCUUGCUAGUAGGAUUAUUCUACUCCUGUAAUAGUGUCGUGGUGAAAUUUUUGUUCUUCUUAUGUGGAAUAAUUAUUAUGAACUUGGUUAUAUGAUUGAUGUUGUUCUUCUUCUCUAGGAUAAUAUGCAUUAAUAAAUUUUAGUUAUUUGUCAUUGAUCUGAUUAUAACCACGUGACAGUGAUGCUAAUUGAUUCCCUUUCAUGAAAUAUUGGCAGUGCCCAUGUAUAUGGCUUGUCAUUUCCUCUUUCUUGUUGCCAAAGAUCUCAGAUAUUCUAGGUUGUAAUGAUGGGUUAAUUUAUUUGUACCACAUUAACUUAGUUGACAUAAGAAUCCCAAGGAAUGAAGUUGAUGCUUGUGUGCAUGUCUUUGCUUCCUAAUUUUUCAGGUCCUGUGUGCUUCUAAUGAGGAUCACACUGUUGUAGAGCCUUUGCUCCCUCCAGAAGGUGCCAAAAUUGGAGAACGCGUCUCAUUUUCAGGGAUUGAUGGUAAGCCAGAAGAUAUCCUAAAUCCAAAAAAGAAGCAGUUGGAGAAAAUAACACUGGUAUGUGGUUCAAACUUUCUGUUGUUUUUUAUUUUUAUUUUUUUUUGAGCUCCUGGUUCAUUUUAUAGUGUGCAUAUUCAUCUUAUCCUGCACCUCAUCUAUCAAACUUCAAAAUUAUCUUCUCAUUAACUAGGAUUAUGUUCCAUAGAACUCAGAAAAAGUAUGGGUGAAUGAAUUGGUCGUUAGUUGGACAAUGUGGUUUUCUUUCUGGUUCUGUGGCCCACUGCAGGUAACUAUCAAUUAAUUAGAUGAUGUGAUUCAAUGAGCAUGCCAACUGUUAAAAUUUAAGGAGUCAUAUUUCCUUCCUACUUCAUGGUAGAUAUGACAAAUUUUGAAGGUAUCAGCAGGAAGUUAUGAGUUAUAGUUUGUCUUGCUUUUAUGGUUUGUGAAUCAUUACAUUUUUUUGUCUUUAGCGCUCGUUAUCUUAAAAGAGGCUAUUGAAAGUACUGAUGGGUAGGUGAACUGGUUUCUUAUACUGCAACAUAAAUGCUGUGGUCAUUGCUUGUGUCAUUAUUGCCUUUUCCUUUAGUUUUUAUAUGAAUGCUUUGGGUAUGGUUUUUGAUCAUGAGCAUUUCAUGGGUGCAGAAUCUUUUCACUGAUGACAAGGGUGUGGCCACAUUUAAGGGCAUACCAUUUAUGACAUCGGGUGGGCCAUGCACAUCAUCCAUUCCAAAGGCAAGCAUCAAAUGACAACGAUGAUCAAUUGGACCACAAUGAGCUUACUGUUUACUUGUUCCUAUCUGAGUUUUAGCUUUAAGCUCUAUUUGUUGUCUGGUACAAGAACAUACAUGUUAAAACAGCCAUUGGUUUUGAAUCAUGUAGUAACAUGAAAUGGUUUCAAACUGUCUCAUUCAUUUGGGAUCUAACGUUAAACAAAAUUCAGCAAGGUAUGUUCUUAAUCACAUUACCAAUAUUUUUAUAUCAAAUAUCAAUAGAAAUUUUGAGGUGUCUUGCAAUGGG
Molecule: unclassified non-coding RNA, 4242 nt
Filed under: Hevea brasiliensis (rubber tree)
Lineage: Eukaryota; Viridiplantae; Streptophyta; Magnoliopsida; Malpighiales; Euphorbiaceae
Source: RNAcentral